GUCUCAGUUCGGAUUGUAGGCUGAAACUCGCCUCAUGAAGCUGGAGUUGCUAGUAAUCGCGAAUCAGCAUGUCGCGGUGAAUACGUUCCCGGGCCUUGUACACACCGCCCGUCACACCAUGAGAGUUGGCAAUACCCAACGUACGUGAUCUAACCCGCAAGGGAGGAAGCGUCCUAAGGUAGGGUCAGCGAUUGGGGUGAAGUCGUAACAAGGUACC
RNAcentral lists this ribosomal RNA (217 nucleotides) under uncultured bacterium. RNAcentral's name for it is "partial 16S ribosomal RNA". It matches the Rfam family "Bacterial small subunit ribosomal RNA", at positions 1285 to 1500 of the family's 1533-position model. The record is from RNAcentral.